RNAcentral lists this small nucleolar RNA (201 nucleotides) under Dasypus novemcinctus (nine-banded armadillo). RNAcentral describes it as "Small nucleolar RNA SNORA73 family (ENSDNOG00000040964.1)". It matches the Rfam family "Small nucleolar RNA SNORA73 family". Rfam says of the family: U17 (SNORA73A and SNORA73B) also known as E1 belongs to the H/ACA class of small nucleolar RNAs (snoRNAs). Vertebrate U17 is intron-encoded and ranges in length from 200-230 nucleotides, longer than most snoRNAs. The record is from RNAcentral. Lineage: Eukaryota; Metazoa; Chordata; Mammalia; Cingulata; Dasypodidae.
CCAAUGUGGAUAAACCAGGAGGUCAUUCUACUUGGACUCUGUUCUGGUGGUCUAAAAGAGCAUAAGGCAAUUCUCAGUAAUAUCCAGUCCCAUUCCAUGACAUUGUAGUUGAAGCUGGGCCUCAAACCUGUACCUGCAUAUUCCUACACAAUUUCAGUACUGAAACAAUGACUGAGGAUACAAACCUUGCAGGAAUCAUCU